This 390-nucleotide ribosomal RNA is filed under the name uncultured bacterium. Its description in RNAcentral is "bacterial SSU rRNA". It matches the Rfam family "Bacterial small subunit ribosomal RNA", at positions 28 to 419 of the family's 1533-position model. The record is from RNAcentral.
GAUUAACGCUGGCGGCGUGCAUAAAACAUGCAAGUCGAGCGCGGUGCGACUUCGGUCGCAUCUAGCGGCGCACGGGUGAGUAACACGUGAGCAACCUACCUUGGAGUCCGGGAUAGCCCUGAGAAAUCAGGAUUAAUACCGGAUGAUGUCAUCACCAGGCAUCUGGAGAUGAGAAAAGGCGCAAGCCGUUCCAAGACGGGCUCGCGGCCUAUUAGCUAGUUGGUGGGGUAACGGCCUACCAAGGCGGAGAUGGGUAGCUGGUCUGAGAGGACGAUCAGUCACACUGGGACUGAGACACGGCCCAGACUCCUACGGGAGGCAGCAGUUAGGAAUUUUCCGCAAUGGGCGCAAGCCUGACGGAGCAACGCCGCGUGGGUGAUGAAGGCCGUU